This 73-nucleotide transfer RNA is filed under the name Camelus bactrianus (Bactrian camel). It matches the Rfam family "tRNA". Rfam says of the family: Transfer RNA (tRNA) molecules are approximately 80 nucleotides in length. Their secondary structure includes four short double-helical elements and three loops (D, anti-codon, and T loops). Lineage: Eukaryota; Metazoa; Chordata; Mammalia; Artiodactyla; Camelidae. RNAcentral also lists the same sequence under 2 other names. The record is from Rfam by way of RNAcentral.
GAGGGUAUAGCUCAAGUGGUAGAGCACAUGCUUAGCAUGCAUGAGGUCCUGGGUUCAAUUCCCAGUACCUGCA